ACAAAAAUGCACAUGCUGUGAGCUCGAUGAGUAGGGCGGGACACGUGGUAUCCUGUCUGAAUAUGGGGGGACCAUCCUCCAAGGCUAAAUACUCCUGACUGACCGAUAGUGAACCAGUACCGUGAGGGAAAGGCGAAAAGAACCCCGGCGAGGGGAGUGAAAAAGAACCUGAAACCGUGUACGUACAAGCAGUGGGAGCCUCUUUAUGGGGUGACUGCGUACCUUUUGUAUAAUGGGUCAGCGACUUAUAUUCUGUAGCAAGGUUAACCGAAUAGGGGAGCCGAAGGGAAACCGAGUCUUAACUGGGCGUUAAGUUGCAGGGUAUAGACCCGAAACCCGGUGAUCUAGCCAUGGGCAGGUUGAAGGUUGGGUAACACUAACUGGAGGACCGAACCGACUAAUGUUGAAAAAUUAGCGGAUGACUUGUGGCUGGGGGUGAAAGGCCAAUCAAACCGGGAGAUAGCUGGUUCUCCCCGAAAGCUAUUUAGGUAGCGCCUCGUGAAUUCAUCUCCGGGGGUAGAGCACUGUUUCGGCAAGGGGGUCAUCCCGACUUACCAACCCGAUGCAAACUGCGAAUACCGGAGAAUGUUAUCACGGGAGACACACGGCGGGUGCUAACGUCCGUCGUGAAGAGGGAAACAACCCAGACCGCCAGCUAAGGUCCCAAAGUCAUGGUUAAGUGGGAAACGAUGUGGGAAGGCCCAGACAGCCAGGAUGUUGGCUUAGAAGCAGCCAUCAUUUAAAGAAAGCGUAAUAGCUCACUGGUCGAGUCGGCCUGCGCGGAAGAUGUAACGGGGCUAAACCAUGCACCGAAGCUGCGGCAGCGACACUAUGUGUUGUUGGGUAGGGGAGCGUUCUGUAAGCCUGUGAAGGUGUACUGUGAGGUAUGCUGGAGGUAUCAGAAGUGCGAAUGCUGACAUAAGUAACGAUAAAGCGGGUGAAAAGCCCGCUCGCCGGAAGACCAAGGGUUCCUGUCCAACGUUAAUCGGGGCAGGGUGAGUCGACCCCUAAGGCGAGGCCGAAAGGCGUAGUCGAUGGGAAACAGGUUAAUAUUCCUGUACUUGGUGUUACUGCGAAGGGGGGACGGAGAAGGCUAUGUUGGCCGGGCGACGGUUGUCCCGGUUUAAGCGUGUAGGCUGGUUUUCCAGGCAAAUCCGGAAAAUCAAGGCUGAGGCGUGAUGACGAGGCACUACGGUGCUGAAGCAACAAAUGCCCUGCUUCCAGGAAAAGCCUCUAAGCAUCAGGUAACAUCAAAUCGUACCCCAAACCGACACAGGUGGUCAGGUAGAGAAUACCAAGGCGCUUGAGAGAACUCGGGUGAAGGAACUAGGCAAAAUGGUGCCGUAACUUCGGGAGAAGGCACGCUGAUAUGUAGGUGAAGCGACUUGCUCGUGGAGCUGAAAUCAGUCGAAGAUACCAGCUGGCUGCAACUGUUUAUUAAAAACACAGCACUGUGCAAACACGAAAGUGGACGUAUACGGUGUGACGCCUGCCCGGUGCCGGAAGGUUAAUUGAUGGGGUUAGCGGUAACGCGAAGCUCUUGAUCGAAGCCCCGGUAAACGGCGGCCGUAACUAUAACGGUCCUAAGGUAGCGAAAUUCCUUGUCGGGUAAGUUCCGACCUGCACGAAUGGCGUAAUGAUGGCCAGGCUGUCUCCACCCGAGACUCAGUGAAAUUGAACUCGCUGUGAAGAUGCAGUGUACCCGCGGCAAGACGGAAAGACCCCGUGAACCUUUACUAUAGCUUGACACUGAACAUUGAGCCUUGAUGUGUAGGAUAGGUGGGAGGCUUUGAAGUGUGGACGCCAGUCUGCAUGGAGCCGGCCUUGAAAUACCACCCUUUAAUGUUUGAUGUUCUAACGUUGGCCCCUGAUCGGGGUUGCGGACAGUGUCUGGUGGGUAGUUUGACUGGGGCGGUCUCCUCCUAAAGAGUAACGGAGGAGCACGAAGGUUGGCUAAUCCUGGUCGGACAUCAGGAGGUUAGUGCAAUGGCAUAAGCCAGCUUGACUGCGAGCGUGACGGCGCGAGCAGGUGCGAAAGCAGGUCAUAGUGAUCCGGUGGUUCUGAAUGGAAGGGCCAUCGCUCAACGGAUAAAAGGUACUCCGGGGAUAACAGGCUGAUACCGCCCAAGAGUUCAUAUCGACGGCGGUGUUUGGCACCUCGAUGUCGGCUCAUCACAUCCUGGGGCUGAAGUAGGUCCCAAGGGUAUGGCUGUUCGCCAUUUAAAGUGGUACGCGAGCUGGGUUUAGAACGUCGUGAGACAGUUCGGUCCCUAUCUGCCGUGGGCGCUGGAGAACUGAGGGGGGCUGCUCCUAGUACGAGAGGACCGGAGUGGACGCAUCACUGGUGUUCGGGUUGUCAUGCCAAUGGCACUGCCCGGUAGCUAAAUGCGGAAGAGAUAAGUGCUGAAAGCAUCUAAGCACGAAACUUGCCCCGAGAUGAGUUCUCCCUGAGACUUAGAGUCUCCUGAAGGAACGUUGAAGACGACGACGUUGAUAGGCCGGGUGUGUAAGCGCAGCGAUGCGUUGAGCUAACCGGUACUAAUGAACCGUGAGGCUUAACCUU
RNAcentral lists this ribosomal RNA (2563 nucleotides) under Escherichia coli. RNAcentral's name for it is "partial 23S ribosomal RNA". It matches the Rfam family "Bacterial large subunit ribosomal RNA", at positions 379 to 2925 of the family's 2925-position model. The record is from RNAcentral. Lineage: Bacteria; Pseudomonadati; Pseudomonadota; Gammaproteobacteria; Enterobacterales; Enterobacteriaceae.